This is a long non-coding RNA of Raphanus sativus (radish), 526 nucleotides long. RefSeq lists it as uncharacterized. The record is from RefSeq and is a predicted model, not a curated record. The transcript is spliced from 2 exons. Lineage: Eukaryota; Viridiplantae; Streptophyta; Magnoliopsida; Brassicales; Brassicaceae.
AAUAAGAAAGUGGAAGUGGGUCUCUCUGUGACUAUGUCCAGUCUUCGUCGUUGGGCAUCUUUUCUCUUUUUUUUUUUAAUUAGCUUUUACAAAAGCGUCAAAGACGACACCAGGAUAAAAUGGAAAAUGCAGAGAAUAAAAUAAAAAGAGACACUUUUGUUUCUCUGAAUCUUCUUCUCUCCGAAUAACCAAAAGCUGCUUACUUUCUUUCUCUCUCUCUCUAUCUUUCAUUCACGCCAUCAUCGUUAAGAACCCAAAGAGUGCAAGAAAAAGAAGGAUUAUUUGUUAGACAGUGUCCCGGUCUGGUCUUUCUUUUGUUGGGACGACGCGCUAUUACCUGGCGUUUGAAACACACGCUUUUGGCGCGAGUUGUGUUAAUCGUUGUGGUGGGGCCCUGGUCCUUGGCUCCAUAGAUUUUCAUUUUUUUACCUUUUUUUUCUCUUUUUUUUUUUCACAUUAAUAUUUGGUUUGGAUCUAAUCAUGAUUCCUUAACCACCGUUAUCAUAUAAAUCGCUCUGUUUAUUUC